UGGGGAAUAUUGGACAAUGGGCGAAAGCCUGAUCCAGCAAUGCCGCGUGAGUGAUGAAGGCCUUAGGGUUGUAAAGCACUUUCGGCCGGAACGAAAUCGCGCGGGUGAAUAUCCCGCGUGGAUGACGGUACCGGAAGAAGAAGCACCGGCUAACUACGUGCCAGCAGCCGCGGUAAUACGUAGGGUGCGAGCGUUAAUCGGAAUUACUGGGCGUAAAGUGUGCGCAGGUGGCCGCGCAAGUCGAGUGUGAAAUCCCCGAGCUUAACUUGGGAAUUGCGCUCGAAACUACGUGGCUCGAGUAUGGCAGAGGAAGGUGGAAUUCCACGUGUAGCGGUGAAAUGCGUAGAGAUGUGGAGGAACACCGAUGGCGAAGGCAGCCCCCUGGGUCAAGAUUGACGCUCAUGCACGAAAGCGUGGGGAGCAAACA
RNAcentral lists this ribosomal RNA (427 nucleotides) under uncultured beta proteobacterium. RNAcentral describes it as "bacterial SSU rRNA". It matches the Rfam family "Bacterial small subunit ribosomal RNA", at positions 355 to 774 of the family's 1533-position model. The record is from RNAcentral. Lineage: Bacteria; Pseudomonadati; Pseudomonadota; Betaproteobacteria.